CCUACGGGUGGCAGCAGUCGAGAAUCAUUCACAAUGGGGGAGACCCUGAUGGUGCGACGCCGCGUGGGGGAAUGAAGGUCUUCGGAUUGUAAACCCCUGUCAUGUGGGAGCCAAUUAAAAAGAUAGUACCACAAGAGGAAGAGCCGGCUAACUCUGUGCCAGCAGCCGCGGUACUACAGAGGUCUCAAGCGUUGUUCGGAGUCACUGGGCGUAAAGCGUGCGUAGGCUGUUUCGUAAGUCGUGUGUGAAAGGCGCGGGCUCAACCCGCGGACGGCACAUGAUACUGCGAGACUAGAGUAAUGGAGGGGGAACCGGAAUUCUCGGUGUAGCAGUGAAAUGCGUAGAUAUCGAGAGGAACACUCGUGGCGAAGGCGGGUUCCUGGACAUUAACUGACGCUGAGGCACGAAGGCCAGGGGAGCGAAAGGGAUUAGAUACCCUAGUAGUC
Molecule: ribosomal RNA, 446 nt
Filed under: uncultured bacterium
Lineage: Bacteria
Description: partial 16S ribosomal RNA
Rfam family: Bacterial small subunit ribosomal RNA
Source: RNAcentral